This 74-nucleotide transfer RNA is filed under the name bacterium. Its description in RNAcentral is "tRNA-Ala". It matches the Rfam family "tRNA". From Rfam's summary of the family: Transfer RNA (tRNA) molecules are approximately 80 nucleotides in length. The record is from RNAcentral.
GGGCCUGUGGUAUAGCGGUAACACAUCUCCAUGGCAUGGAGAGGUCAGGGGUUCGACUCCCCUCAGGUCCACCA